GACGAACGCUGGCGGCGUGCUUAACACAUGCAAGUCGAACGAUGAAGCCGGAGCUUGCUCCGGUGAAUUAGUGGCGAACGGGUGAGUAACACGUGAGUAACCUGCCCUUGACUCUGGGAUAACUGCUAGAAAUGGUAGCUAAUACCGGAUACGACCCUCGGAGGCAUCUUCAGGGGGUGGAAAGAAUUUCGGUCAAGGAUGGACUCGCGGCCUAUCAGCUAGUUGGUGAGGUAAUGGCUCACCAAGGCGACGACGGGUAGCCGGCCUAAGAGGGUGACCGGCCACACUGGGACUGAGACGCGGCCCAGACUCCUACGGGAGGCAGCAGUGGGGAAUAUUGCACAAUGGGCGCAAGCCUGAUGCAGCAACGCCGCGUGAGGGAUGACGGCCUUCGGGUUGUAAACCUCUUUUAGUAGGGAAGAAGCGAAAGUGACGGUACCUGCAGAAAAAGCACCGGCUAACUACGUGCCAGCAGCCGCAGUAA
RNAcentral lists this ribosomal RNA (484 nucleotides) under uncultured bacterium. RNAcentral's name for it is "partial 16S ribosomal RNA". It matches the Rfam family "Bacterial small subunit ribosomal RNA", at positions 28 to 523 of the family's 1533-position model. The record is from RNAcentral.